RNAcentral lists this non-coding RNA (135 nucleotides) under Peptococcaceae bacterium. RNAcentral's name for it is "MoCo sequence". It matches the Rfam family "Molybdenum/Tungsten riboswitch aptamer (Moco RNA motif)". Lineage: Bacteria; Bacillati; Bacillota; Clostridia; Eubacteriales; Peptococcaceae. The record is from RNAcentral.
ACAGGUGGAUUCCGAGCCCCGCUUCCUAAAGGUCGGACAGAACCCAUGGAACGGGGCCGUUUCAGAAAUGAAACCGGGGUUUGCUUAGAAAUGAGCACACCUUCCGAACUAGAAAAGGAGGCUAUACCUAGCUAU